GUGAAUUCGCCAGCGGGAGCGCGCUCGCGGACGCGCGUUCUCCGCUUUCCCGGCUCCGUCGCUGACGCGUCGUAGACGUUGGGGAGCGGGAAGGCAACGGCAGCGGGAUCGGGAUGAACAGCGGCGGCGGCUUCGGUUUGGGCUUAGGCUUCGGCCUCACCCCCACGUCGGUGAUUCAGGUGACGAAUCUGUCGUCGGCGGUGACCAGCGAGCAGAUGCGGACGCUUUUUUCCUUCCUAGGAGAAAUCGAGGAGCUGCGGCUCUACCCCCCGGACAACGCACCUCUUGCUUUUUCCUCCAAAGUAUGUUAUGUUAAGUUUCGUGAUCCAUCAAGUGUUGGCGUGGCCCAGCAUCUAACUAACACGGUUUUUAUUGACAGAGCUCUGAUAGUUGUUCCUUGUGCAGAAGGUUGGUAUCUCGCUUUUUUUCCUCUUAUUUGAAUUUCUGUCCUGUCUGUUAUUGCCUUUAGCUUUCCUAGAGAUUGGCAAGUAGACAGUACUCUUGAUGCGUGUGUGAAAGUAAGAAUGAAAUUUGG
RNAcentral lists this small RNA (535 nucleotides) under Pan troglodytes (chimpanzee). Its description in RNAcentral is "processed transcript". Lineage: Eukaryota; Metazoa; Chordata; Mammalia; Primates; Hominidae. The record is from RNAcentral.